RNAcentral lists this transfer RNA (87 nucleotides) under Campylobacter geochelonis. RNAcentral's name for it is "tRNA-Leu(caa)". It matches the Rfam family "tRNA". Rfam says of the family: Transfer RNA (tRNA) molecules are approximately 80 nucleotides in length. Lineage: Bacteria; Pseudomonadati; Campylobacterota; Epsilonproteobacteria; Campylobacterales; Campylobacteraceae. The record is from RNAcentral.
GCCCGGGUGGUGAAAUUGGUAGACGCACCAGACUCAAAAUCUGGCGGGGGCAACCCCGUGCCGGUUCGAUUCCGGCUCCGGGCACCA